Long non-coding RNA from Dipodomys spectabilis (banner-tailed kangaroo rat), 217 nucleotides. RefSeq lists it as uncharacterized. The record is from RefSeq and is a predicted model, not a curated record. Lineage: Eukaryota; Metazoa; Chordata; Mammalia; Rodentia; Heteromyidae. The transcript has 3 exons.
GAGGACAAAUAAGAGAACUGCAGCUCAGGUUGGCCAGGACAUAAAAUCAGACAGUACUUCUAAAAUAACCUACAGAGACUGGAGGGUCCUUUGAAGUCUGGUCCUGUCUCCCACUGCCCUGAAUGAACAUUCUAACCUAGUUAUCCAGAGUACACUUACCAAGAAAGAAAGGAUAAGUUCCUGUCCUAUCUUGGGACAUGUGCUUCCUCAUAUACAG